Molecule: small nucleolar RNA, 131 nt
Filed under: Apteryx haastii (Great spotted kiwi)
Lineage: Eukaryota; Metazoa; Chordata; Aves; Apterygiformes; Apterygidae
Description: Small nucleolar RNA SNORA51 (ENSAHAG00000006630.1)
Rfam family: Small nucleolar RNA SNORA51
About the family: ACA51 is a member of the H/ACA class of snoRNA that guide the sites of modification of uridines to pseudouridines.
Source: RNAcentral
CUCCUCCCCACGCUUACCGCAGGCAGCCGCCCCCCCGGCUGCCUGUACAGAACGGGGAGGCAGAGCAUCGCCUCGAUACACCCCGGCCUGGGAGACGGUGCCCUGGCUGGAUUGUGAGCGGGGGGACACGG